This 497-nucleotide ribosomal RNA is filed under the name uncultured bacterium. RNAcentral's name for it is "partial 16S ribosomal RNA". It matches the Rfam family "Bacterial small subunit ribosomal RNA", at positions 28 to 507 of the family's 1533-position model. The record is from RNAcentral.
GAUGAACGCUGGCGGCGUGCCUAAUACAUGCAAGUCGAGCGAACAGACGAGGAGCUUGCUCCUCUGACGUUAGCGGCGGACGGGUGAGUAACACGUGUAUAACCUACCUAUAAGACUGGGAUAACUUCGGGAAACCGGAGCUAAUACCGGAUAAUAUAUUGAACCGCAUGGUUCAAUGGUGAAAGACGGUUUUGCUGUCACUUAUAGAUGGAUCCGCGCCGCAUUAGCUAGUUGGUAAGGUAACGGCUUACCAAGGCGACGAUGCGUAGCCGACCUGAGAGGGUGAUCGGCCACACUGGAACUGAGACACGGUCCAGACUCCUACGGGAGGCAGCAGUAGGGAAUCUUCCGCAAUGGGCGAAAGCCUGACGGAGCAACGCCGCGUGAGUGAUGAAGGUCUUCGGAUCGUAAAACUCUGUUAUUAGGGAAGAACAAAUGUGUAAGUAACUAUGCACGUCUUGACGGUACCUAAUCAGAAAGCCACGGCUAACUACGUG